CCUCCACCAUUUUGACUCCACAUUGACAUCACCUCAACAUUUCCUCAAUUUCUUCCACGUUUCCUCCACAUUUCCUCCAUUUCCUCCACCUUUUCUCCACGUUUCCUCCACCUUUCCUCCAUUUCCUCCACCUUUUCUCCACAUUUCCUCAAUUUCCUCCACCUUUCCUCAACAUUUCCUCCACCUUUACUCACAUUUUCUCAAUUUCCUCCACUUUUUCUCCACGUUUCCUCCAUUUUUUUCCACAUUUCCUCAAUUUUCUCCACCUUUCCUCCACAUUUCCUCAAUUUCCUCCACCUUUUCUCCACAUUUCCUCAAUUUUCUCCACCUUUUCUCCACAUUUCCUCAAUUUCCUCCACCUUUCCUCCACAUUUCCUCAAUUUCCUCCACCUUUCCUCCACAUUUCCUCAAUUUCCUCCACCUUUUCUCCACAUUUCUUCAGUUUCCUCCACCUUUCCUCCACAUUUUCUCACUUUCCUCCACUUUUCCUCCACAUUUUCUCCAUUUUUCUCCACAUCUCCUCAGUUUCUUCCACCUUUCCUCCUGAUUUUUCUCUAUUUCCUUCACUUUGCCUUCUCAUUUCCUCAAUUUUCUCCACAUUUCCUCAU
RNAcentral lists this long non-coding RNA (608 nucleotides) under Phasianus colchicus (ring-necked pheasant). Its description in RNAcentral is "lncRNA (ENSPCLG00000014451.1)". Lineage: Eukaryota; Metazoa; Chordata; Aves; Galliformes; Phasianidae. The record is from RNAcentral.